This 207-nucleotide ribosomal RNA is filed under the name bacterium enrichment culture clone ALO1_GLFRUDD03FVAFZ. RNAcentral describes it as "partial 16S ribosomal RNA". It matches the Rfam family "Bacterial small subunit ribosomal RNA", at positions 9 to 216 of the family's 1533-position model. The record is from RNAcentral.
GAGUUUGAUCCUGGCUCAGAUUGAACGGCUGGCGGCAUGCCUUACACAUGCAAGUCGAACGGCAGCACGGGAGCUUGCUCCUGGUGGCGAGUGGCGAACGGGUGAGUAAUGCAUCGGAACGUAUCCUGGAUGGGGGAUAACGUAGCGAAAGUUACGCUAAUACCGCAUACUCUGUGAGCAGGAAAGCGGGGGACCUUCGGGCCUCGC